Lotus japonicus is the source of this 1639-nucleotide long non-coding RNA. RefSeq lists it as uncharacterized. The transcript is spliced from 3 exons. The record is from RefSeq and is a predicted model, not a curated record. NCBI's taxonomy places the organism in Eukaryota, Viridiplantae, Streptophyta, Magnoliopsida, Fabales, Fabaceae.
AUCAUUGUACUGUUUCCCACUAUCCCUUUACUUUUCUGGACUUUUCAUUCCUCCCACUGCAACUUCAACCCUCAGUUCACCCAAACCUCAUUUUCAGCCCCGCGAUUCAAAAGAAUAGCAGAUUGCAAUUUCGCACAUGUUCACUGCAACACCACACCACAUUUUACCGUAACUCACAAUCUUCUCUGCCUAAAUUUCUCACAUUCACUCAAAAUUUGAGUUUCUUUGCAGAUAUUUGAACUAUUGUGCUAAACAGAUUGGUACAUGCAACUUUUGAGCUGGAGAUUCAGAGUAAUAUAAAUGAUUUGAUAGAUGGAAUUAGAGAAUUGAAACAUUAGAACUUGAGGGAAGAAUCAGCUGUCUUCUAACGAGAGAUCAAUGACAUGACUUUGAGGUUUGAUAGGAGAGACUUUGAGAUUGGUGACUGACGAUCCUGUCUUGUGGAUCUGUUGCUUCAAAUGCAAUCUACAACUUCGGUGACUCCAUUUAGUUUUUCUUCAUAUCUAACUUCUUUUUUUAAAAAAUUCUCUCUUGCAUGGAGAUGUUAAGAAGGCUUUUACAGGAAUAUGAGCCAUCCCCGAAUAUCCUGUUAGAGGAUUUAGAUUUAAUAACUCUUCAUACGCGUGUGGCUUCCUCUUUUAAUGUUCUUUGAAGGAAUUAAUUUUUGCAUGUUUUUUUAUUGCUGUUUUCUGAAUCCUAUUUUCCUUUAGGUUCUUCCUUUUUUUUUUAUUUGAUUGUGCUGAUGAAUAGCAAUUCAGGUUCUUCCUUUUUUAUUUGCAUAGACUGUUGUUUGCAGCUUGAUUCCAAUUUAGUGUGGCAUACCUGAUACCUUGAAACAGGUACUUUAGUACUUACCCCCAUGGUUGAUGAAUUGUCUAAGAAUGUAAGCACGUGUGUGCAAAAAUUACUUCUUCCUUUGUUCCUUGGUUGGUUACUGUCCCUUUUUGUUUCUUUACGUUUUUAUCACCAUGGUUUCCAUACCUUUUUCUUAGAAUGCUUUAAUGUUUCCUCUAGCUUUUAUCAUCCCUCAAGCUUUAAUUUUUUUUCUUCCAUUUUCCCAUUCAAUGAUCAUUUAUGCUCUCAAAUAGGAGUUUUAUUUCCAUUAUAGCAGAGUAGGAGAAUUUAACCAAAAUGGGGAAAUCUCUGUUUAUGGACAGUAGUAUAUAACAUUUUUGCAUUGGUAUGAGUUUAAGCAGUUAGAAAAAGGAAAUAUAUGGCAGGCAUUAUUCAAUUACUACCUAAUGGUGAAGGUCUCAAAUGAGGCUGUCGUGAUUUGCGCCACGGCGGCUGCAUUGGAGCCCCCUGUUUCACUAGGAGUGCAAGGUAGUGGAUCACAUGGAGGCUUUGGCGAAGAAUUUUAAGGAACAGUAUUGGACCCUAAUUAUGAAGCUGUCAAAUGUUCUUCUUGCUAUGGAGGAUGAGGUGCCUGCUGGUCUAGCAUCUAAAGUUAGUAACAACCUCAAGAUGCUGAAUUUCCUAUGUUCCCACAUCACUACCACUCAAAUAUUUCUUUUAACACUUAAUGACCGGGCCUUAAUGUUUUUCUUUAACUAUCCAACAUUGGUUUGGUAUUUUUGUUUUACAAGCUUAGUAAAUUUAUUAUUGAAUUUACAGAUUAUCUUUAUAAAGUGAAUUUAUA